RNAcentral lists this long non-coding RNA (1775 nucleotides) under Linum usitatissimum (flax). RNAcentral describes it as "long non-coding RNA (LUSI_LNC003510)". The record is from RNAcentral. Lineage: Eukaryota; Viridiplantae; Streptophyta; Magnoliopsida; Malpighiales; Linaceae.
UUUGUAGCGCGAAUUCGAGGUUGAGCUCGUCUAAAAUGUAACAAGUGAAACUUGAAUACAGUAAAAUUCAGCUCGACUAGAUUCGUAAACAGCCUUACUUCCGGCUAGAGCUUAAAUUAAUAUUAUCAACAAUAACUCACCAUAAAACUCAGCAAUAACUUACCAUAAAAAUCAACAAUAAUAAACACAGAAACUCGACAUACUACCUCUUCAGAAAAGCAAGUAAAAUCAAUCAGAAGAUUUAACACCCGCCGCCACCACCUCCACAUCCGCCUCCGCCGCCGCCACCGCAUCCUCCACCUCCAUGCCCCCCAUGCCCGCCGCCGCCGCAUGCUCCGCCGCCACUCGAGUAAAAAACGGUGCCGCCGUGACUAGCUGGAUGAUGAUUCCUCCGUUUCCGUCGGUUGAUGACGGCGGUGCUCUUCGCCAGUUUGGAACUAAAGCAUCCCAUCUCACGCAGCCUCUCAGUCCCUUAAUUCGUUUCUGCUGAUCAAUCCUCUGUUUUCUGUAGUGUGAAUGAUCUGAUCUUGUAGUAUCAACAACGUAACUACACGGUAUAUAUAGAACAAAAGCAGAAUCAAUAGGAAUUGAAUGCAAUGCAGAGAGGAUUAGCGUGCAUGUGCUCUGUCUCGCCAAAUAUGGAUAUGUCUGUUAUGUUCUUUCCUGUAAAAGAACAACAUGAUCAAGUUACUGAUGAAGAAGAUCCUGAAAAGGUAAAGACUUCGGCCAAUCGCGAAUUAUACGGCAACUUGUUGACGGGUGAUUGGGAGGAAGAUUGCCAGAAAUUGAUUUGGCUGGCGAUUUCACCAAAUUGAAACUAGGAAGUCUUGCCAUAUAAACAUUUAAAAGGAAUCUUGCUUAGGAAACUGCGUGUUCAGAUUGUUUUUCUUUUCAUGCCUUUGAAAGAAAUAUUUAUCAUUAAUUAUGGAUCCGAAACAACCAUUUGUAAUAGAAACGAUGGAUGGAAUCAUGGACAAAUUUCAGGGUUUUGUUUCAGAUAAAUAUAUAUGUUUUCCGGAAUAUAAGGUUAUGUUAAAUUUGAACAAAUUACGUAUAUAAAGUUCAAUUGUUACUCGGAUAUUGUCUUUGCGAGGUCCUAUCGCUUAGUAGCUGCGGAAAACGUAUCCCGGGGGCUGUUCGGAGAAAAAUAAAGGCUCUCGAAUUGAAAUCAGUGUCUAUGCAAGUUCCGAUACUAAAAUGAAUUGAAAUCAAGGCGUGACUCCUAUUUUUUCAUUAUGUACAUGAAAAUCAACUAAAGAUGAAAGAAUAACAGGUAAAGAUAGAAAGCAAGAGACAGAUGGAGUUAAUUAAACUACUUACGGAAUUAAUACAUAAGAAACUAGCUAGCUAGCUAGCUAGCUAAACAUUCCACAUCUAAACCCCAGCAGCAUAGCCACCAUCACAAGCACAGCUCGCGGUCUCGCUGUUAUCGAUAUCGGAGCGGUGGCGAAGAUUGGAGGUGAGGCAGCAACACAUCAGACCCAUCAGCAACAUCAAUCCCCAUACUGUCGCUAUGCCUUGAACCCAGUUCAUGAUUUCCACAUGGCGCUCCAUCAAUCAAUCAAUUUUUGAUGUUACGUAACGAAUGGAUCUUCUUCCGAUGAAUUAUAGUCGGCCAUGGGCAGAGAAGGGAGAGAUGAAAGUAGAAAGGGGGAUGGAUUAUGAUAUCUAACUAAGGGACCUCACCCUAGUUAUAAAGUGGGGGAGGAGCAUGUUCCAUCCAGCUAAUUCACCUGAUUUUCGUUGCUGGGAGAGUUUGAGUGACACCAAAUGCC